GCGGGUAUGGUGUAGUGGUAGCACAUCAGCCUUCCAAGCUGUUGGCACGGGUUCGAAUCCCGUUACCCGCU
Molecule: transfer RNA, 71 nt
Filed under: Chloroflexota bacterium
Lineage: Bacteria; Bacillati; Chloroflexota
Also listed under: 1 other name
Description: Chloroflexi bacterium (bioreactor metagenome) tRNA-Gly
Rfam family: tRNA
About the family: Transfer RNA (tRNA) molecules are approximately 80 nucleotides in length. Their secondary structure includes four short double-helical elements and three loops (D, anti-codon, and T loops).
Source: RNAcentral